This 446-nucleotide ribosomal RNA is filed under the name uncultured bacterium. RNAcentral's name for it is "bacterial SSU rRNA". The stretch from base 1 to 329 matches the Rfam family "Bacterial small subunit ribosomal RNA", at positions 1051 to 1379 of the family's 1533-position model. The record is from RNAcentral.
GUCGUCAGCUCGUGUCGUGAGAUGUUGGGUUAAGUCCUGCAACGAGCGCAACCCUUGUCCUCUGUUGCCAUCAGGUUAAGCUGGGCACUCUGAGGAGACUGCCGGUGAUAAACCGGAGGAAGGUGGGGAUGACGUCAAGUCAGCAUGGCCUUUAUGUCUGGGGCUACACACGUGCUACAAUGGCAGAUACAAACCGUCGCGAUGCCGCAAGGUGGAGCUAAUCGGAGAAAGUCUGUCUCAGUUCGGAUUGCAGGCUGCAACUCGCCUGCAUGAAGUUGGAAUCGCUAGUAAUCGCGGAUCAGCACGCCGCGGUGAAUACGUUCCCGGGCAUGUGGCGUACAAGGCCUAGACUGCAACAAAACCGGUGAAUACGUUCCCGGGCAUGUGGUGUACAAGGCCUAGACUGCAAUAGCUGCGGUGAAUACGUUCCCGGGCAAUCUCUAGAG